UUAGGUGUUUCGCUCAUAAACACACACAUCGCCCGGUUUGAGAUUUGAACCCUCAAUCCCUCCACCGCAAGUCCGCUGCUCUAACCACUAGGCCAUGUGCCUCCACCAGAUAUAAGAUAUAUUCACUCGAAAUUUCAUUAUUCUUAACAGCAGAAAAUAGUUUUCCAUAACAAUUUAACUUUUGUUGAGGAAUAUCAUAUUUGAAACUCUUUUUUGUCGAAAUAUAUCAAGUUUACAGAUUUGCAGAAAACACCAAAUAUUUAACCUCAUUACUGGAAUAACCGUAAAAUCUUAUUUUUCAGCUGAAGGGUUAAUUUACAGGUAUGAUAGGCAACGCAAAUAUACUCCCCUUCAGACACACAUCGAGAGGAGACUUCAUCACCCUCUUCUCUCCCUUUUUCUACAUUUUGUAGUCAAUUAUUGUCUGUCAUUUUAAUCGAGUGUCUUCUUUCA
Long non-coding RNA from Octopus sinensis (East Asian common octopus), 453 nucleotides. RefSeq lists it as uncharacterized. The record is from RefSeq and is a predicted model, not a curated record. Lineage: Eukaryota; Metazoa; Mollusca; Cephalopoda; Octopoda; Octopodidae. The transcript is spliced from 2 exons.